CGCAUAAGCGGUCGUGCCCGCGCGGUGGCGAUCAAGUGACGGCGGAGAGGGAAUGUACGCCGCCGUCCCCCUCCUCCCCAUUCCCACCGCAGCCCAUGGACAGGAGAGGGUUCCCGGAACGGAAGCGACGCACCAGCGGCAGGUUUGUGGGGGCAUGCCUUACUGAGGAAGAUGCAAAUAAGCUAAGGGAAGGGAAUGAAGAUUGGUUUAUUUCUCCUAAUCAAAUAUAUGCUCUCAUUGUCAAUCCACAUCGGGCUAUGCAGUUUCUAGCUGGAAGGAAUGAAUGACACCAUCCAUGCAGGUUUGCAGGACCAAGCCCCCAUAAUAUAUUGUUGCAAAAUAAGACUAUUGAUCAUGUUCUGGUGCGAUGAUUAUAGUUCUAUGAAGUUUCAACCAAAAAUCUCUCAAGAUGGCAGAAUACACAAAUAGCAUUCAAGCCUUUUUCAUCAACGGAAUGCAGGUUUUUCAAGAUUCGUUCUGACCCUCUUAUAUAAUUGUCUACAAUGAUCUUGAGGAUAGUUACUCCAUUUCAUAUAGAUGGGCAAUGGCCAAAUAUUUGUUAUUCUACAACUUCUAGGCAACUCUAGCCUAUUGUUUCUAGUCUUACCCUUCCUUCAUUGCAUCAUAAACUUACUUCUCUCUGUGCAUGCACACUAUAGAGAAGAUUAUUUGAGAGUAAGAUGGUCAUUUUAUCUACCUCCUUAAUUGAGAGCAAGAGAGAGUAUUAUCCAUAUGUGCUAAAAGUCAUUAAAUUGUAAAAGGGCGUCAUGAUUUGUAGAAUUCCUCCUGUAGAUAGACAUGUAUGAAUAAGCAGCAUAAACUUGGUUAGGCUUUGGCUCAUAAUGUAUCUAUUGACACAUCUGUCUGUACUUCAAAAGCAUCUUUAUUGCAUUCGAUAGUUAAGAGUGUUGGUAAGGAUGGGCAGAGCCACUAACAGGGAUAUAGUGCUCGUUCAAUCAAUUACUUCUGCAUCCUAGUGUAUUGUAUUGCAUUUCUCUUGCAACUUACAUGAGAUUACCAAGGUCUGUAAUGCUCCAAUAUAUAGUUUUAAGCUUUAGCUGCAGAUUGGUCCAGAACUUGAAUCACAUCAAUCAACAUGAUCGUGCCAAGGAUGUCCUGAGAGUGCCUUCUCAUCUAAAUUUUCCAAAGCACAUAUCACUGAAUUGACAUUUUCUUUGUUACAGAGCCUAGCCAUUUCGCCCCCCUUGUCAUCAGAAUGAGUUACAUACCUGCAGAAGGCUACAUUUUUUGCCGACCAUGUUUCUGACCAGAAGUGAGUCCUGGCCCACCUUCCCUCUGAAAAAUUGUGCCGAGCCAUUGAGUUAGGAGUUUCUUUCAGGGGCAAAUUGUUGAUAACUGCAUUUGUUCUAGUUCAUGGAGCUGCCUUCUUCACCUUCUGAACAGAGGCCAGGCCCGUGGUUGGCUCACCGAUUACAGGAUGUCAAUUAGUAACUACAGUUGCGAGCAAGGAGCAAGGGGGGCGUCCGACUCCGAGCUCGGUUGGUUGGCUUGCCGGUUACAGCAAGUCAAUUUGGUAACUACAGAUGGGUGGAAGGCGACGGACGGUAUGGCUGUCACGAGACCCUGUCCAACUCAUGUUUCUUCGCUGCUUCCUUCGUCAGUCGUCACGUCGUCGAGCAAAGUUACCCCGAGCUAGCUAAGGAGGACGAAACCAGCAAGUGGCGGGGCUCCCGUGCCGACGUCGCGCCAAAGCUUCACCGGUGGUCGGCAGCCGAAGGUGAGUCCCGCCAUGCACUGAGCACUGACGGAGUCGCCGCCGGUUCUCUCCUCGUCCCUCUCUACGGCAGAUGACGACGAGUGCACCGUAUGGUAAGCGAUCAAGAGGGGGCCGGGCGGGGUUGCUUGAGCGCCUUGCGCGCAAAGGCAUGGCGGCAUCUGGGCCCGGAGCCCGGGUGUGCCGUGCGUGCGCGGCGCGCACCUGCACGAGCGUGCAAUCGCGGCGCGCGGCCGCAGCCGGGCGGGGCCUGGGGGAGCUCGUGCCGUGUGUCCCGGGCGACGAGGUGGUGGUCUUGCGGCCGGAUGACGGAAUGGUUGAUGGAAUCCUUGCGUAAGGAUGCAACCGGCCGAGGCGCGCGCGGCAGGCAGGGCCCCCCGUGGGAAACGGGAGCGGCAAAGCCUCGUGGCACACCAAACUGUAGCUUUUGAUCGUGCAUGGUGGGGCGCGUACCUGACUGAUGCUGCGCCCCUGCUGAAAGUUGCGUCACAGCUUUAGUUACCCUGCGAAACAGGGCAAGAAAGCUAAAGGGGUUUGUUUGGAAAACGUCAAUUUUACUGAACUUUCGUUCAUAGGGGAACAAACAGUUCGAUUCCCUUGGGAUGUGGUGGGGAUUCCGGCGUGUCGUAGGGGUCAAUUCAUAUGUAACAGUUGCACUAGAGAAUAGAGAUUCAUAUCUGAAGGCUUCAUUCAGAAUGUGAUUUUUUCCCCUGCAUACCAACCCGUAUGUGAAUUGGACUGGUUCUUAUGAAUUCGCUGGAAUUCAUUCAUUCAA
This is a long non-coding RNA of Panicum hallii, 2510 nucleotides long. RefSeq lists it as uncharacterized. NCBI's taxonomy places the organism in Eukaryota, Viridiplantae, Streptophyta, Magnoliopsida, Poales, Poaceae. The record is from RefSeq and is a predicted model, not a curated record. The transcript has 5 exons.